GGUCACUGGAAGAGGGAGGAGGAGGGAUGAUGCCCAGGGACGACACAUUGAAGCCGAUGGACUGACUCAGAUUGCCGGAGACAGCAGCUCGACCCAAAUCAUCAGCAAUGUUCUUCAGGACCUCAAACUGAUGGUCGUCUUCUGUAGACGAUGCCGGCUCUAACCAGUGCUGUUGCUGGUGGAAUUCUGGACGGGAGGCUCCCUGAUCUCCACCUCCACUGUCAGUCCUGUUGAGCGCCGCCGCCUUGCAUUAGUUCCCUCUCGGACGAUUUUGGUGAUUCGGAUCUUGUUUGGGGGUAUUUUCAGGAAUGCAGCCAGAUUGUUGACCAGAUUUUCCCCGAAGAACUCCGCCUCAGUCAUGGCCGGGAGGUUGAAGGCCAGGAAGAGAACCGGAGAGGUGCGGAUUUGGACCGGCUCUGAGCCACGAAGAAGUACGUUCAUCAUUUUGUAGUCUGGGUCAAAAAAGUUGGAGCCAUGACCGGAGUUGAAACCAGGAACAUAUUGACCUGAGGAGCGUAGAGAGGAUUUAAAAUAGGAAUUGUGAUCUGUUGUAAAAUGAUUUUGGUCUUAUAGCCUGCAGGAGGAGCUGUUUGACAUGAAUUAUCAUGCUGUACUCUACCUGUAUAAGUUGGCUCACGCAGUGUGUAGUCAGUUUUGUCUGUGUUCCACUGAGCAUUUGUUGGACCAAUCAAAUUAUUGUUAACAUACACAUCCAGCCGCUGAGGGUUUGAGUAAAAUAUAGCCACCCUAACAGCCUGAGGACAACAGAAGAUUAGUGUAGAAUACAGUGCUUUAGUAUACUGAAUAAAUUCAAUAAAAUGAC
Long non-coding RNA from Carassius gibelio (silver crucian carp), 823 nucleotides. RefSeq lists it as uncharacterized. The transcript has 2 exons. The record is from RefSeq and is a predicted model, not a curated record. NCBI's taxonomy places the organism in Eukaryota, Metazoa, Chordata, Actinopteri, Cypriniformes, Cyprinidae.